Molecule: ribosomal RNA, 468 nt
Filed under: uncultured bacterium
Lineage: Bacteria
Description: partial 16S ribosomal RNA
Rfam family: Bacterial small subunit ribosomal RNA
Source: RNAcentral
GACGAACGCUGGCGGCGUGCUUAACACAUGCAAGUCGAACGGAAAGGCCCUGCUUUUGUGGGGUGCUCGAGUGGCGAACGGGUGAGUAACACGUGAGUAACCUGCCCUUGACUUUGGGAUAACUUCAGGAAACUGGGGCUAAUACCGGAUAGGAGCUCCUGCUGCAUGGUGGGGGUUGGAAAGUUUCGGCGGUUUGGGAUGGACUCGCGGCUUAGCAGCUUGUUGGUGGGGUAGUGGCUUACCAAGGCUUUGACGGGUAGCCGGCCUGAGAGGGUGACCGGCCACAUUGGGACUGAGAUACGGCCCAGACUCCUACGGGAGGCAGCAGUGGGGAAUAGUGCACAAUGGGCGGAAGCCUGAUGCAGCAACGCCGCGUGCUGGAUGACGGCCUUCGGGUUGUAAACCGUUUUCGCCUGUGACGAAGCGUGAGUGACGGUAAUGGGUAAAGAAGCACCGGCUAACUACGUG